This 253-nucleotide ribosomal RNA is filed under the name uncultured bacterium. RNAcentral's name for it is "partial 16S ribosomal RNA". It matches the Rfam family "Bacterial small subunit ribosomal RNA", at positions 524 to 776 of the family's 1533-position model. The record is from RNAcentral.
UACGGAGGGUGCAAGCGUUAUCCGGAUUCACUGGGUUUAAAGGGUGCGUAGGUGGGCAGGUAAGUCAGUGGUGAAAUCUCCGGGCUUAACCCGGAAACUGCCGUUGAUACUAUAGGUCUUGAAUCUUCUGGAGGUCAGCGGAAUAUGUCAUGUAGCGGUGAAAUGCUUAGAUAUGACAUAGAACACCAAUUGCGAAGGCAGCUGACUACAGGGGCAUUGACACUGAGGCACGAAAGCGUGGGGAUCAAACAGG